UGCUUCCAGACUUUAUUAUGGCUCAGGAUGAACGCUGGCGGCGUGCCUAAUACAUGCAAGUCGAACGAAUCUUCUUCGGAAGAUGAGUGGCGAACGGGUGAGUAAUACAUAGGUAACCUGCCCCUGUGCGGGGGAUAACAGGAGGAAACUCCUGCUAAUACCGCAUAGCCAUGAGCACCGCAUGGAGCUCAUGCCAAAUAUCCUUCAGGGGAUAGCGCAGGGAUGGACCUAUGGCGCAUUAGCUAGUUGGCGGGGCAACGGCCCACCAAGGCAACGAUGCGUAGCCGGCCUGAGAGGGCGGACGCCACAUUGGGACUGAGACACGGCCCAGACUCCUACGGGAGGCAGCAGUAGGGAAUUUUCGGCAAUGGGGGAAACCCUGACCGAGCAACGCCGCGUGAGCGAAGAAGGCCUUCGGGUCGUAAAGCUCUGUUGUAAAGGAAGAACGUCGCAUGCAGGAAAUGGUGUGCGAGUGACGGUACUUUACCAGAAAGCCACGGCUAACUACGUGCCAGCAGCCGCGGUAAUACGUAGGUGGCGAGCGUUAUCCGGAAUCAUUGGGCGUAAAGAGGGAGCAGGCGGCCGCAAGGGUCUGUGGUGAAAGACCGAAGCUAAACUUCGGUAAGCCAUGGAAACCGGGCGGCUAGAGUGCGGAAGAGGAUCGUGGAAUUCCAUGUGUAGCGGUGAAAUGCGUAGAUAUAUGGAGGAAAACCAGUGGCGAAGGCGACGGUCUGGGCCGCAACUGACGCUCAUUCCCGAAAGCGUGGGGAGCAAAUAGGAUUAGAUACCCUAGUAGUCCACGCCGUAAACGAUGGUCACUAAGUGUCGGGGGUCAAACCCCGGUGCUGCAGUCAACGCAAUAAGUGACCCGCCUGAGUAG
This 880-nucleotide ribosomal RNA is filed under the name uncultured organism. Its description in RNAcentral is "bacterial SSU rRNA". It matches the Rfam family "Bacterial small subunit ribosomal RNA", at positions 1 to 880 of the family's 1533-position model. The record is from RNAcentral.